This 1619-nucleotide long non-coding RNA is filed under the name Canis lupus familiaris (dog). Its description in RNAcentral is "lncRNA (ENSCAFG00845014928.1)". Lineage: Eukaryota; Metazoa; Chordata; Mammalia; Carnivora; Canidae. The record is from RNAcentral.
AGAGAAGAGAAGAGAAGAGAAGAGAAGAGAAGAGAAGAGAAGAGAAGAGAAGAGAACAAAACACAUCCCAAUUGGAAUACUAGCAUGAUUCACCCGGAAAUAUUUUAUAAAAUCCUUCGGCUUCCUAACAUUCCUAAAACCUAGAAAUCUCAGGACAUACAGUAUGUUUUAUAACUAAAGUCAAUAGUGUAAGUGACUUUUUGAUACUCAAAUAUAUUUUAAAGUACAUUUAAUCCAUAUAUUGAGCAAUUCCCUACAUCAAUCUAGUUUUCGUUAAAUAAAUUUUCACUUUUGUAAUUACUUUAUAAAUGUUUUCUUAAUUCUAUAAGGGACAUCCCAUCAGCAGAACAAAUUGCAUAGAAGCUCCUAGAAAAUGAGGCAUUUUGACAAGGGUAGGAGGAGAAACAUUGUUGAUUAGGAAUACAUUCUAAAGAACUAUCUAGAAAAAUACACUAGAUAUACUUCCUCCUUGCUUCUAUUUAUUAGAAAUAUAAACUUCUAAAAUAACACAUUACUCAUUUAUUUAUUCAUACAUUCAACAACUAUUUAUCAAACACCUACCAUGAGAAUUUUUAGUUGUUUCUCAAACAUUAGUUCUAGGGAAUCACUUUAUGAUUGUGAACAUCUGUGUUCCAAAUGUAUCAUUAUUCACACGUGAUUUAAAAAAAAACUGUCACUUUAACAAAUUUAUAUUUAUAUAAGAAGUAAACUUUAUAUAGUUACUAAAACAAAAACUAGAAUAUUCUAUGAAUAGAGUGGAAAGUAGGCAUACAAAACAAAAAAUAGAAUGAAAUUAUAAAAGGUUUAUUCAUGUACCACAUAAACUUACUUAAUGUAAUAACAAAGAUACAUAUACCACACUUAGAGAAAUCUGGUCUUGGGAAAUAUUACUGAUAUUUUACAAUGCCUUGAGAUAGUGUAUUUUCCCAGUAUUAACCAUCAGAAUCUAAUUAUCUUGACAUGAGAAACUGAGUUUCAUCAGUUUUUAAAUUCACUUCCUCGCAAAUAGUGGAUGUGCAGUAAACUAUAGGAUAAACACUGCAUAAACCCCUUCGUUCCACACACUAGAAUUUUUUUCUAAAGAGUAAGCGUAUCUUACUCAUAAGAGAUUAUUUUAUUUCUACAUAAAAAGCAUCUAACAUUUAACAACAACAACAAAAAAGUGAUGUAUUCAGAAGAAAGUCCCUUUGCCUUGAUUUGGUAACAUGCAUAUUUCAUGGGCUCUACUUUGAACAUUUAACCAAGAGAUUCAAUGUGAUUAUUUCAGUAACAAUUCAAUUUGAAAUGUCAACUAUGUUCAGCAUUUAAAAAUUAAUAGCUAAAUCCCUUUAAAGAUCAGGGAAAUUUUGUUCUGGCUUAGAAUAAUUUUAUAGCUUAUGAAUCUCCUUAUGCAUUGUUUGCAUAUUUUAAACUAUUCUGAAUAAUGCACUCCCUGUAAAGGCCCAUUAGUUCAAAGAAUUUUGACAGUCACAGCUCAAGGUAUUAAUUUUCAUACCAGAUAUAUAUUUUCGAUUGGCAGUAAAUUUUUCAAACUCAAAUAUACUUUACCUAAAUUGUGACUGUAUAUAUUUUGAAUAGGUUAUAGCAGUAAACAACCAUGAAAAAUUAAAAAAAAAAAA